CCGCGAAUGGUGUAGUGGAAACAUCCCUCGCUUACAACGAGUAGAUUCCUGGUUCGAUUCCAGGUUCGCGGA
RNAcentral lists this transfer RNA (72 nucleotides) under Armatimonadota bacterium. RNAcentral describes it as "Armatimonadetes bacterium tRNA-Val". It matches the Rfam family "tRNA". From Rfam's summary of the family: Transfer RNA (tRNA) molecules are approximately 80 nucleotides in length. Their secondary structure includes four short double-helical elements and three loops (D, anti-codon, and T loops). Further hydrogen bonds mediate the characteristic L-shaped molecular structure. tRNAs have two regions of fundamental functional importance: the anti-codon, which is responsible for specific mRNA codon recognition, and the 3' end, to which the tRNAs corresponding amino acid is attached (by aminoacyl-tRNA synthetases). tRNAs cope with the degeneracy of the genetic code in two manners: having more than one tRNA (with a specific anti-codon) for a particular amino acid; and 'wobble' base-pairing, i.e. permitting non-standard base-pairing at the 3rd anti-codon position. Lineage: Bacteria; Bacillati; Armatimonadota. The record is from RNAcentral.